Molecule: ribosomal RNA, 1402 nt
Filed under: uncultured bacterium
Lineage: Bacteria
Description: 16S ribosomal RNA
Rfam family: Bacterial small subunit ribosomal RNA
Source: RNAcentral
AGAGUUUGAUCCUGGCUCAGGAUGAACGCUAGCGGCAGGCUUAACACAUGCAAGUCGAGGGGCAGCGGGGAGGAAGCUUGCUUUCUCCGCCGGCGACCGGCGCACGGGUGAGUAACACGUAUGCAACCUGCCCCUGUCAGGGGGACAACCCGCCGAAAGGCGGGCUAAACCCGCGUACAUGCCACCGGGGCAUCCCGGAGGCAGGAAAGGCUUCGGCCGGACAGGGAUGGGCAUGCGGCGCAUUAGGCAGUAGGCGGGGUAACGGCCCACCUAACCGACGAUGCGUAGGGGUUCUGAGAGGAAGGUCCCCCACACUGGUACUGAGACACGGACCAGACUCCUACGGGAGGCAGCAGUGAGGAAUAUUGGUCAAUGGUCGGGAGACUGAACCAGCCAAGCCGCGUGAGGGAGGAAGGUACAGAGUAUCGUAAACCUCUUUUGUCAGGGAACAAAGACUGGGACGCGUCCCCGGAUGAGUGUACCUGAAGAAAAAGCAUCGGCUAACUCCGUGCCAGCAGCCGCGGUAAUACGGAGGAUGCGAGCGUUAUCCGGAUUUAUUGGGUUUAAAGGGUGCGCAGGCGGUCUGUUAAGUCAGCGGUCAAAGCCCGGGGCUCAACCCCGGCCCGCCGUUGAAACUGGCAGUCUCGAGUUGGAGAGAAGUAUGCGGAAUGCGCGGUGUAGCGGUGAAAUGCAUAGAUAUCGCGCAGAACUCCGAUUGCGAAGGCAGCAUGCCGGCUCCACACUGACGCUGAGGCACGAAAGCGUGGGUAUCGAACAGGAUUAGAUACCCUGGUAGUCCACGCAGUAAACGAUGAAUGCUGGCUGUCCGGGGGGACUGACCCCUGGGUGGCGAAGCGAAAGCGAUAAGCAUUCCACCUGGGGAGUACGCCGGCAACGGUGAAACUCAAAGGAAUUGACGGGGGCCCGCACAAGCGGAGGAACAUGUGGUUUAAUUCGAUGAUACGCGAGGAACCUUACCCGGGCUCAAACGGGGAGUGGCGCAGGCAGAGACGCCUGUUUCCCACGGGACACUCCCCGAGGUGCUGCAUGGUUGUCGUCAGCUCGUGCCGUGAGGUGUCGGCUUAAGUGCCAUAACGAGCGCAACCCCCGCGUGCAGUUGCUAACAGUCAACGCUGAGGACUCUGCACGGACUGCCGGCGCAAGCCGCGAGGAAGGCGGGGAUGACGUCAAAUCAGCACGGCCCUUACGUCCGGGGCGACACACGUGUUACAAUGGGUGGUACAGCGGGAAGCCAGGCGGCGACGCCGAGCGGAACCCGAAAUCCACUCUCAGUUCGGAUCGGAGUCUGCAACCCGACUCCGUGAAGCUGGAUUCGCUAGUAAUCGCGCAUCAGCCAUGGCGCGGUGAAUACGUUCCCGGGCCUUGCACACACCGCCCGUCA